Zophobas morio is the source of this 634-nucleotide long non-coding RNA. RefSeq lists it as uncharacterized. The record is from RefSeq and is a predicted model, not a curated record. The transcript is spliced from 2 exons. Lineage: Eukaryota; Metazoa; Arthropoda; Insecta; Coleoptera; Tenebrionidae.
AAAAGGGGGACUAAGUAAAUAUUAAACUAAAAAAUUCGUUAUUUCGUAUGAUCGGAUUUGUAUGAUGAAAUGUUGCACUUUUAUUUGAAAACGCGCAAUGAUCUCAUAGAUAAAUAUAAAACACGUGAUAUUGAUAUUAAACGCUGUAUUAUUUGCGAAACCGUGUUCGAGAUCGCUCUGCGAGCAAAACUCUUGGUAAAAUUUAUCGAAAGGGCUCUGAAACGGCAAACGAUUCAGUGUUUUCAAUAAACCUGUUCACUAUUAAGAAUUCCAAAAUGAGAGCAUUCUGGAAAGACGUACGAAAUAUUUUUGAAGUAAUUUCCCUCAGCAUACUCUUCGGGGCCGUAUUUUUGUUGUGCUUUUUAAGAGGACCGACGCAAUCAGCACUACUGAUGGAAUAUGACGAACGAUGAUGCAAUGGACAAGGGCGAAGAAUGAAUCUGUUAUUUUUUUAUAUGUACUCAUAAACUACAUGUUUAUUAGGAAUGAAAAUUUUUAAUUUCAACAUUGUGCAAUGCAGUCAAUAAUUGUUUGUUAAUUUAAGAUUAUUGAUAAGAUAAGAAUUGUACAGGUGUGCGAGAAUUCGACUUUAAUUUCUCGGUUAGUAACAACAUUAAAUUGAUUUUGAUUAUCA